UUGUUCAGGAAGAAAAGAUCAUGGGGAUUGAAAAUUUUACCAUGACAUUGGAUAAUCCUUCUGGGGUGUUCUAUGCUGGCCAAGUGGUUUCAGGUAGAAUGCAAUUUGUAACUACAAAGCCCUAUGAGUCAGAUGGAGUAUUUGUUAAGUUUGUGGGAAUGGCUGAAGUUCACUGGAGUGAAAGGCAUACAACAGGUACUGGGAAGAAUAGAAGAUCACACACUGUACACUAUAGAAGCCAUGAAAAGUAUCUUGAUAAUAAGAUUUGCCUGUACAGUCCACCUGGAAAACAGCUGCAGCCUUACAACUACGCAUUUCCAUUUUCCUUACAACUCCCUCUCACACUUCCUAGCUCUUUCAUAGGAACAGUUGGCAAGAUUACAUAUCUUGUAAGAGCUAACGUUCAUCGAAGUGGAAUGCACAUGGCAACAAGGGUUACUAUGCCAUUUUCUGUUGUUGGCAUCAAGGAUCUUAAUUACCUUCCCCAACUGCAACAACAUCUGACUACAGAGAAUCACAAGACAUUUGGAAUGCUCUUCUGGAAAUCUAAACCACUUACCGCACAAAUCACCAUAAACAAGCAAGCAUUUGUCUCUGGAGAAAAUAUCCUUGUAUCUGGGUUAAUAAGAAACGAAAGUGAUACUAAAAUCAAAAACUGUGAGCUGAAGCUAAUACGAUUAGUGAGGUACAAUGCAAGAGGGAAAACCAGAACUGAUAAGCGAACAGUCUACAAGUGUGAUCAACCAGGCAUCGACAAAGAAUCGGAAGCAAAAUGGCAAAAUGUUCCUAUUUUUGUACCUGCUUUACCUCCAUCUGGUCUUGAUGGAUGUAGCAUCAUCCACACGGAGUAUUUCUUAGAAGUCCGUAUCGUUCCACCUGGCAUGGCUUUUGCACUUGAACAAAUGUUCAACAUUACCAUAGGUACCAUUCCGUUUCGCCAGCAGUAUGCUCCUCCUCCACCUACUGCAGGAGCAGGUUAUGCAGCCCCACCGGGUGGUUAUCAUGAACCGGGACCUUCUGGUGGUUAUGCUCCUCCGCCACUUCCGAGUGGGUUUCAAGCUGGACCACCUGGACCACCUGGACCACCUGGACCACCUGCUCCAUACCCCCAGGCUGGCCCUCUUCCAGAAAAAGGUCCUGUUCCUUCUGCUCCUUAUACUGACCCUUCUGCACCACCAUCUGCUGCAGUACCGCCACCAUAUGGAGAUAUUCAACCAACUUAUGGUGCAUAUCUUGGGGACUCCAACGAGCCACCAGCUUAUGAUGAUCUGUACAAAGGGGGUGAUGAUAAUGAAGAGCACGAUGACACUUCAAGGAAUUACCAGCCACAAUACCCAUCAUUUAAGAUACCUCCUGCGUAUUAAGUUAUAAAGAAUGCAGUGUACUCUCUGGACUAAGGUAACUUAGGAGCAAAUACGAAUGGCUUUAAAAUGCUAUUCGUUGUUUGAACCAGUGAAAUUAGUAUUUCAGCUAAAAUAGGCUUGCAAGUGUAUAGUUAUGACUUGUGUUAUGAGAUUUUUAAAACAAACAUUUAAAAAAAAAAAGAUAUUUUUAAUAUGAUUGACUUUUUAGUUUUAAAAACUUUUUUUUACAACUACAAUUAAAUACAUUUGUUGAGGCUUAUGUCACUAUAUAAUAUGCUUAGUGCUUAUGCAAUCGCGAAUGCUCAUUGAUUAAUACAAAGUUAAUGAAAACACUCGAUAAGAAGUAAACCUCCAUGAAGUUAAUAUAAUUAUAGAACUGGCAACCAGACAAGAAAACAUAAUUUGAAGUUUGAAGAGAUUAGAUCUUCAUCAUAAUAAUAUAUAAUAUCCGAUAUUAUGAAAAUCAGAGGAAUUUUCUUCUUCUUUUGAAUCAAUCAAGCUAGAUGAUUUGUUGUAAAUACUGAGAUCAAAUUAUCAAUUUACAGGAUAUCGUCAAACAUGUUGCAAGGCGUCAUCUUCAAAACCUAUAUAUUAAAAAAUUUCACUUUGUGGCCUUCUUGGGACAGUCCCUGAUAUUAUACAAUAGGCAAACUGCUUCUGUGAUUAUAUGCUAACUUUUUAAUUUUUAACAUGUCUGGGCUGAUUUGGUAGUUUUAUUAUAAUUUAGAAUAUUGAACCUGCAUGAGUGUUUCUUUGUAGUUCUAACUUGUGUGACUUUGUGUAAUUUUAUGAAUUAUGACAUAAGAUAUUGAUGUACUUCUAUAUUCUCAGUAGUUUGAUAAAAUUCUUUUAAAAAAUGUGUGUAAAUGCUUUGUGUCCUAUACCGUUUUCUGAUAAAGGAAUAAAUAUUUAAAUUUUCGAUCAUAAGUCUCUAUCAAAAAUUGUUCACCGAUCUUAACUUUUGUACGUGUAUAAUUCAGAUACAAAGCUAUUGAAUCGUUAAUUUAUUAAAUGGGAGGUAUGCUACCCCAUAUUUAUCAUGCCAUAAUUCUUUAUUUAACUUACGUUCACACACAUGCUCGUGUUCUACCCCAAAUUUAUCAUGCCAUAAUUCUUUAUUGAACUUACGUUUACACACAUGCUCCUGUUCUAAUAUUUUCCUUUAUUCCUUUGGUUGAGUUUUGUUUCUUUAGAAUUAAUAAAGUAAUAACAUGAUGGUUUACCUUGCUAUAUAACUGUUAUUAUUGAAGCAUGGGAGCCUCGCUAUUAUUUUCAAUCUGUUCAGUUGACAAGUUUAAUUGAGACUAAAAUACUCAUUUACACU
Molecule: RNA transcript, 2688 nt
Organism: Bolinopsis microptera
Lineage: Eukaryota; Metazoa; Ctenophora; Tentaculata; Lobata; Bolinopsidae
Gene name: arrestin domain-containing protein 1-like
Exons: 3
Source: RefSeq, a predicted model, not a curated record